AUUGCCCCUUGAGGCGUUGCAGUACGGCUUCUUCUGUCGACACUGUGUCAUAAGGUGGCAUAGAACAAAAGGGCCAUGUUUACACCUGGAAUCCUCCUACACAGUGGGUUCUCAGUGUCAUUAUGGUCCAACAGG
Small nucleolar RNA from Astyanax mexicanus (Mexican tetra), 135 nucleotides. The record is from Ensembl. Lineage: Eukaryota; Metazoa; Chordata; Actinopteri; Characiformes; Acestrorhamphidae.